AAUGAACGCUGGCGGCAGGCCUAACACAUGCAAGUCGAACGGGUCCUUCGGGACUAGUGGCGGACGGGUGAGUAACGCGUGGGAACAUGCCCUUUGGUACGGAAUAGCCUCGGGAAACUGGGAGUAAUACCGUAUGUGGUCGAGAGACGAAAGAUUUAUCGCCAAAGGAUUGGCCCGCGUUGGAUUAGGUAGUUGGUGGGGUAAUGGCCUACCAAGCCGACGAUCCAUAGCUGGUUUGAGAGGAUGAUCAGCCACACUGGGACUGAGACACGGCCCAGACUCCUACGGGAGGCAGCAGUGGGGAAUCUUAGACAAUGGGGGAAACCCUGAUCUAGCCAUGCCGCGUGAUCGAUGAAGGCCUUAGGGUUGUAAAGAUCUUUCAGGUGGGAAGAUAAUGACUGUACCACCAGAAGAAGCCCCGGCUAACUCCGUGCCAGCCGCCGCAGUAA
This 449-nucleotide ribosomal RNA is filed under the name uncultured bacterium. Its description in RNAcentral is "partial 16S ribosomal RNA". It matches the Rfam family "Bacterial small subunit ribosomal RNA", at positions 29 to 523 of the family's 1533-position model. The record is from RNAcentral.